This 502-nucleotide ribosomal RNA is filed under the name Sinorhizobium medicae. RNAcentral's name for it is "bacterial SSU rRNA". It matches the Rfam family "Bacterial small subunit ribosomal RNA", at positions 215 to 734 of the family's 1533-position model. The record is from RNAcentral. Lineage: Bacteria; Pseudomonadati; Pseudomonadota; Alphaproteobacteria; Hyphomicrobiales; Rhizobiaceae.
UCGGGAAAGGAUGAGCCCGCGUUGGAUUAGCUAGUUGGUGGGGUAAAGGCCUACCAAGGCGACGAUCCAUAGCUGGUCUGAGAGGAUGAUCAGCCACAUUGGGACUGAGACACGGCCCAAACUCCUACGGGAGGCAGCAGUGGGGAAUAUUGGACAAUGGGCGCAAGCCUGAUCCAGCCAUGCCGCGUGAGUGAUGAAGGCCCUAGGGUUGUAAAGCUCUUUCACCGGUGAAGAUAAUGACGGUAACCGGAGAAGAAGCCCCGGCUAACUUCGUGCCAGCAGCCGCGGUAAUACGAAGGGGGCUAGCGUUGUUCGGAAUUACUGGGCGUAAAGCGCACGUAGGCGGAUUGUUAAGUGAGGGGUGAAAUCCCAGGGCUCAACCCUGGAACUGCCUUUCAUACUGGCAAUCUAGAGUCCAGAAGAGGUGAGUGGAAUUCCGAGUGUAGAGGUGAAAUUCGUAGAUAUUCGGAGGAACACCAGUGGCGAAGGCGGCUCACUGGUC